GCCAGCAUGGCGUAGCGGUUUGAGUGUUGGACUGCGACUCUGAAGACCAGGAUUCGAAUCCCCACUCGGCCA
Non-coding RNA from Phrynosoma platyrhinos (Desert horned lizard), 72 nucleotides. The record is from the annotation of a GenBank genome assembly. Lineage: Eukaryota; Metazoa; Chordata; Lepidosauria; Squamata; Phrynosomatidae.